RNAcentral lists this ribosomal RNA (253 nucleotides) under uncultured bacterium. RNAcentral's name for it is "partial 16S ribosomal RNA". It matches the Rfam family "Bacterial small subunit ribosomal RNA", at positions 524 to 776 of the family's 1533-position model. The record is from RNAcentral.
UACGUAGGGUGCAAGCGUUGUCCGGAAUUAUUGGGCGUAAAGAGCUCGUAGGCGGUCUGUCGCGUCGGCUGUGAAAUCCCGGAGCUCAACUCCGGGCCUGCAGUCGAUACGGGCAGACUGGAGUUCGGCAGGGGAGACUGGAAUUCCUGGUGUAGCGGUGAAAUGCGCAGAUAUCAGGAGGAACACCGGUGGCGAAGGCGGGUCUCUGGGCAACAACUGACGCUGAGGAGCGAAAGCCAGGGGAGCGAACGGG